RNAcentral lists this ribosomal RNA (483 nucleotides) under uncultured bacterium. RNAcentral describes it as "partial 16S ribosomal RNA". It matches the Rfam family "Bacterial small subunit ribosomal RNA", at positions 30 to 506 of the family's 1533-position model. The record is from RNAcentral.
AUUGAACGCUGGCGGCAGGCCUAACACAUGCAAGUCGAGCGGAUGAAGGGAGCUUGCUCCUGGAUUCAGCGGCGGACGGGUGAGUAAUGCCUAGGAAUCUGCCUGGUAGUGGGGGAUAACGUCCGGAAACGGGCGCUAAUACCGCAUACGUCCUGAGGGAGAAAGUGGGGGAUCUUCGGACCUCACGCUAUCAGAUGAGCCUAGGUCGGAUUAGCUAGUUGGUGGGGUAAAGGCCUACCAAGGCGACGAUCCGUAACUGGUCUGAGAGGAUGAUCAGUCACACUGGAACUGAGACACGGUCCAGACUCCUACGGGAGGCAGCGGUGGGGAAUAUUGGACAAGGGGCGAAAGCCUGAUCCAGCCAUGCCGCGUGUGUGAAGAAGGUCUUCGGAUUGUAAAGCACUUUAAGUUGGAAGGAAGGGCAGUAAGUUAAUACCUUGCUGUUUUGACGUAACCAACAGAAUAGGCACCGGCUAACUUCGU